CCUACGGGAGGCAGCAGUGAGGAAUAUUGGUCAAUGGCCGGGAGGCUGAACCAGCCAAGUCGCGUGAGGGAAGACGGCCCUACGGGUUGUAAACCUCUUUUGUCAGGGAGCAAGGUGCAGGUCGGGCCCUGCUGUGAGAGUACCUGACGAAAAAGCAUCGGCUAACUCCGUGCCAGCAGCCGCGGUAAUACGGAGGAUGCGAGCGUUAUCCGGAUUUAUUGGGUUUAAAGGGUGCGCAGGCGGAGGCACAAGUCAGCGGUAAAAUCGCGGGGCUCAACCCCGCUCCGCCGUUGAAACUGUGGCCCUUGAGUGCGCGAAGGGUAGGCGGAAUGCGUGGUGUAGCGGUGAAAUGCAUAGAUAUCACGCAGAACUCCGAUCGCGAAGGCAGCCUACCGGCGCGCAACUGACGCUCAUGCACGAAAGCGUGGGUAUCGAACAGGAUUAGAUACCCCAGUAGUC
RNAcentral lists this ribosomal RNA (459 nucleotides) under uncultured bacterium. RNAcentral's name for it is "partial 16S ribosomal RNA". It matches the Rfam family "Bacterial small subunit ribosomal RNA", at positions 338 to 795 of the family's 1533-position model. The record is from RNAcentral.